AUAGCUUACAUAUGCAAAAGGUGGGAUUUGGGAAGCAAUGCUAAGCAGUGGAAUGGACAUCGACAUAGAGAGAUCAGCUCCACACUUAUACUCUGCCACUCAACUUCCCCAUGUGACUUGAGGAUCACUCUAACUCCAAAACAUAGCAAGCUCGCGGAACAUCAUUCAUGCAAAGUAUUCCAAGGAGCCCCUUGAAGCAACAGAAUGGAUUUCUCUUCUAUGGUGGAAUGGCACCCUGGAUGAUUAAAACUGUAGCAGCAAACAAAACCUCCAUCAAGUAAGAAUUCAGAGUGUGAGAUAUCACACACAGCCACACGUGGAUCUUUAUAUACGUGACAAUGUGUUUCGUUGUAUUUUUGCUUUAAAAGUAUGUAUUGAGCAUUUCUUCUAGGUCCUCAGUAACAUCUUUUUAAGAAAAAUAAAUGCUUAGGGAAUUGUUUUAUAUUAAA
This 449-nucleotide non-coding RNA is filed under the name Pongo abelii (Sumatran orangutan). The record is from RNAcentral. Lineage: Eukaryota; Metazoa; Chordata; Mammalia; Primates; Hominidae.